Long non-coding RNA from Morus notabilis, 138 nucleotides. RefSeq lists it as uncharacterized. The transcript has 2 exons. The record is from RefSeq and is a predicted model, not a curated record. Lineage: Eukaryota; Viridiplantae; Streptophyta; Magnoliopsida; Rosales; Moraceae.
UCUUCAUUUAUUUGGAUAUAAUCACACAAUAGUUAAUUUCUUUUCUACUCUCUCUUCCUAUACAAUGGCUGCUAGUUUGAGCUUGAUCAUCGGCAUUAUUGGCAAUAUAAUUUCUAUACUGGUUUUUACUUCUCCCAU